GCCGAGGUGGCGGAACAGGCAGACGCGCUACGUUCAGGGCGUAGUGGGUGUAGCGCCCGUGGGGGUUCAAAUCCCCCCCUCGGCACAA
This 88-nucleotide transfer RNA is filed under the name Anaerolineae bacterium. RNAcentral describes it as "tRNA-Leu". It matches the Rfam family "tRNA". From Rfam's summary of the family: Transfer RNA (tRNA) molecules are approximately 80 nucleotides in length. Their secondary structure includes four short double-helical elements and three loops (D, anti-codon, and T loops). Lineage: Bacteria; Bacillati; Chloroflexota; Anaerolineae. The record is from RNAcentral.